AUACGGAGGGUGCAAGCGUUGUUCGGAAUUAUUAGGCGUAAAGAGCAUGUAGGCGGUUCGUUAAGUCUGAUGUGAAAGCCCGGGGCUCAACCCCGGAAGUGCAUUGGAUACUGGCGAACUUGAGUACGGGAGAGGAAAGUGGAAUUUCGAGUGUAGGGGUGAAAUCCGUAGAUAUUCGAAGGAACACCAGUGGCGAAGGCGGCUUUCUGGACCGAUACUGACGCUGAGAUGCGAAAGCGUGGGGAGCAAACAGGAUUAGAUACCCCAGUAGUCC
Molecule: ribosomal RNA, 274 nt
Filed under: uncultured bacterium
Lineage: Bacteria
Description: partial 16S ribosomal RNA
Rfam family: Bacterial small subunit ribosomal RNA
Source: RNAcentral